AUUGAACGCUGGCGGAAUGCUUUACACAUGCAAGUCGAACGGCAGCAUAGGUGCUUGCACCUGAUGGCGAGUGGCGAACGGGUGAGUAAUACAUCGGAACGUGCCCAGUCGUGGGGGACAACGUAGCGAAAGUUACGCUAAUACCGCAUACGAUCUAAGGAUGAAAGCGGGGGACCGUAAGGCCUCGCGCGAUUGGAGCGGCCGAUGUCAGAUUAGGUAGUUGGUGGGGUAAAGGCCCACCAAGCCAACGAUCUGUAGCUGGGCUGAGAGGACGACCGGCCCCCCUGGGAUUGAGACACGGCCCAGACUCCGACGGGGGCAAGCAGUGGGGAAUUUGGGACAAUGGGCGCAAGCCUGAUCCAGCCAUUCCGCGUGCAGGACGAAGGCCUUCGGGUGGUAAACUGCUUUUGUACGGAGCGAAAAGCCUUGGGUUAAUACCUCGAGGUCAUGACGGUACCGUAAGAAUAAGCACCGGCUAACUACGUGCCAGCAGCCGCCGUAA
Molecule: ribosomal RNA, 502 nt
Filed under: uncultured bacterium
Lineage: Bacteria
Description: partial 16S ribosomal RNA
Rfam family: Bacterial small subunit ribosomal RNA
Source: RNAcentral